AUCAGGUAGGGCUACCCGCUGAACUUAAGCAUAUCAAUAAGCGGAGGAAAAGAAACUAACAAGGAUUCCCCUAGUAACGGCGAGUGAAGCGGGAAGAGCUCAAAUUUAAAAUCUGGCAGUCUACGAUUGUCCGAAUUGUAAUCUCGAGAAGUGUUUUCCGCGUUGGCCUGUGCACAAGUCCCUUGGAACAGGGCGUCAUAGAGGGUGAGAAUCCCGUCUGGGAUGGGUGGUCCCGCCCGUGUGAAGCUCCUUCGAAGAGUCGAGUUGUUUGGGAAUGCAGCUCAAAAUGGGAGGUAAAUUCCUUCUAAAGCUAAAUACUGGCGAGAGACCGAUAGCGAACAAGUACCGUGAGGGAAAGAUGAAAAGCACUUUGGAAAGAGAGUUAACAGUACGUGAAAUUGUUGGAAGGGAAACGCUUGAAGUCAGACUUGCUGUUCGG
Molecule: ribosomal RNA, 439 nt
Filed under: Stephanopyxis turris
Lineage: Eukaryota; Bacillariophyta; Melosirophyceae; Stephanopyxales; Stephanopyxidaceae
Description: partial Eukaryotic large subunit ribosomal RNA
Rfam family: Eukaryotic large subunit ribosomal RNA
Source: RNAcentral